UACGGGGGUGGCGAGCGUUACUCGGAUUUAUUGGGUGUAAAGGGCAGGUAGGCGGCUAUGUAAGUCGAUGGUGAAAUCCUGGAGCUUAACUCCAGAACUGCCUUCGAAACUGCAUGGCUUGAGGCCAGAAGAGGAGAACGGAAUUCCCGGUGUAAGGGUGAAAUCUGUAGAGAUCGGGAGGAACACCAGUAGCGAAAGCGGUUCUCUGGUCUGGCCCUGACGCUAAGCUGCGAAAGCUAGGGGAG
RNAcentral lists this ribosomal RNA (245 nucleotides) under uncultured bacterium. RNAcentral describes it as "partial 16S ribosomal RNA". It matches the Rfam family "Bacterial small subunit ribosomal RNA", at positions 524 to 768 of the family's 1533-position model. The record is from RNAcentral.